GGCCCCGUAGUCUAAAGGUCAGGACGCCGGCCUUUCAAGCCGGAGAUGUCGGGUUCGAGUCCCACCGGGGUCACCA
This 76-nucleotide transfer RNA is filed under the name Alphaproteobacteria bacterium. Its description in RNAcentral is "tRNA-Glu". It matches the Rfam family "tRNA". Rfam says of the family: Transfer RNA (tRNA) molecules are approximately 80 nucleotides in length. The record is from RNAcentral. Lineage: Bacteria; Pseudomonadati; Pseudomonadota; Alphaproteobacteria.